UGACCAUGUGGUUUGUAUAGUUCUGAAAUGCUGUCAGUUGCACCGAUCCAAGGGUGAGGCGACCCUCUCAGUGUCCGUUGGCUGCCUAGGUGACCUCAAGGCUCCAUUCACCCAUAGAUUUUUGCUGUCAUCAUUUGCUGGGACAGUUGUCUGUGUUUUUCUGUUCUCCUUCCUCUGUGACGGUACCAAAUGGGCUGUCAUAGUCUCCAUGUGCAUCAUGGUCUACGUCCACUACUACGCCUCUUUCACUUGCAGACAUUGUAUUUAAUUUCUCUUUGUUCUUUGACUUAUUCAUGUAUUUUUAUUUACGUUGUUUAUCUCCAAGUAUUUUGAGCCUUUCCAGCCGUCUUCACAUCACUGUGCUAUGAGAGCAGUUCCUGCAUGAUUUCCAUUCUUUUCAAUUUUCCCAGUUUUGUUUGACGUCCCAAUAUGUGGUCUAUGUUAGUGAGUGUUUGGUUGGAGUGUGAUGAGGCUUGUAGUCUGUUGUCGGAUGAAGUUGUCUGUAGAUUCUAUGUCACGUAGAUUGAUGAUGUUGCUAAGUUAAAUUAUUGCCUUAGCCAAUUUCUGCCUGCUGGUUCUGUCCGAGUCUGAUAGGAAGGAGUGGCGUCUCCAGCUGUGAUAACAGAGUCCUCUGUGUCUGCUUGCAGUCUGAUCAGUUCUUGCCUUAUUUUGAUGCGGUGUUGUGAAGAGCGCACAUGCUGAAGGCUGCUGUAUCUUCUUGAAGAAUUGACUUUUCAGUCUUUAUACAGUGCCUCUCUUUUUCCCUGGUAAUUUUCCUUAUUAGGAAAUCCGCUGUGUCAGAAAAUAAUAUGGCUAUUUGCUUUCUUUUGAGGCAUGUUAAUGUGGUUUUUUUUCUCCAUCUAUUUACUGUAAAUCUAUAUAUUGAAAGUGGGCUUCCUGUAGACAACGUAUGGUUAGCUUUUUCUGAAUCCACUGUGGCAGUUUCUGUCUUUUGAUCAUGGAAUAUAGCCAACGCCAUUUUAAAAUAUGUAUAUAUGUCCUAAUAGUUGGAUAAAUCUAUUCCAUAUUAUUGCUUUCUGUUUAUUGUUUUUAUUCUGUGUUCUGCUUCUGUCUUCUGUCCAUUUUUUUCUGACUUGUGAUUUUUAGUGAGCAUUUUAUAUAUUCCAAUUUCAUUCCUUAAUAAAUCUGCCACACUUCAGUGUAAACUUUUUUAUUAUUUUAUGGAUUGUCUUAGCAUUCCAAGAUAUGUUUACAGGGGACUCAAGAUUACUUUUGGAUAAAGUUGUACUACUUCUUGAGUAGUGUAAAUGCCUUAUAACAUCAAAACAACAAAGCAGUUUUAAUUUCUUCCUCCUAUUCCUUUCGUUACUGUUGUAAUUCAUCUAAUUUAUUCAUAUAUGAGAGUAUAUAGACACAUAAGGAUACAUGUAGGCAUAUAUUUUCAUACAUAUGCUUUAUGAAUAUACAUUCACAUGAAGAUACUUCAAAAAGUUUGUGUAAAAUGGAAGUAAAAGAUAAGGUUAUUAUUUUGCAAAAUUCUGUGCAUACAAGGCAUCUUUCAGAAAUACAAGACAAAUUUAUAAUAAAGAUACUA
This is a long non-coding RNA of Ochotona curzoniae (black-lipped pika), 1555 nucleotides long. RefSeq lists it as uncharacterized. The transcript is spliced from 3 exons. Lineage: Eukaryota; Metazoa; Chordata; Mammalia; Lagomorpha; Ochotonidae. The record is from RefSeq and is a predicted model, not a curated record.